AGAGUUUGAUCAUGGCUCAGGAUGAACGCUAGCGGCAGGCUUAAUACAUGCAAGUCGAGGGGCAGCAUGACUGUAGCAAUACAGUUGAUGGCGACCGGCAAACGGGUGCGGAACACGUACAGAACCUUCCUUCGAGCGGGGAAUAGCCCAGAGAAAUUUGGAUUAAUACCCCAUAGUACAACGGAGUGGCAUCACUUUGUUGUUAAAGAUUUAUCACUUGAAGAUGGCUGUGCGGCUGAUUAGGUAGUUGGCGGGGUAACGGCCCACCAAGCCUGCGAUCAGUAACUGGUGUGAGAGCACGACCAGUCACACGGGCACUGAGACACGGGCCCGACUCCUACGGGAGGCAGCAGUAAGGAAUAUUGGUCAAUGGACGAAAGUCUGAACCAGCCAUGCCGCGUGGAGGAUGAAGGUCCUCUGGAUUGUAAACUUCUUUUAUAUGGGACGAAAAAAGGGUUUUCUAACUCGUCUGACGGUACCAUAUGAAUAAGCACCGGCUAACUCCGUG
This 508-nucleotide ribosomal RNA is filed under the name uncultured bacterium. RNAcentral describes it as "bacterial SSU rRNA". It matches the Rfam family "Bacterial small subunit ribosomal RNA", at positions 8 to 507 of the family's 1533-position model. The record is from RNAcentral.